UUGAAGGCCCUGCAAAGCAGCAUCGCGGUGGCGGAGCGUCGUUUGCGACGCCCAACGCACAAAACAAGCGGUGAGUGCUUUGGGGUGGGGUGACUGCGUACCUUUUGUAUAAUGGGUCAGCGACUUAUAUUCUGUAGCAAGGUUAACCGAAUAGGGGAGCCGGAGGGAAACCGAGUCUUAACUGGGCGUUAAGUUGCAGGGUAUAGACCCGAAACCCGGUGAUCUAGCCAUGGGCAGGUUGAAGGUUGGGUAACACUAACUGGAGGACCGAACCGACUAAUGUUGAAAAAUUAGCGGAUGACCUGUGGCUGGGGGUGAAAGGCCAAUCAAACCGGGAGAUAGCUGGUUCUCCCCGAAAGCUAUUUAGGUAGCGCCUCGUGAAUUCAUCUCCGGGGGUAGAGCACUGUUUCGGCUAGGGGGCCAUCCCGGCUUACCAACCCGAUGCAAACUGCGAAUACCGGAGAAUGUUAUCACGGGAGACACACGGCGGGUGCUAACGUCCGUCGUGAAGAGGGAAACAACCCAGACCGCCAGCUAAGGUCCCAAAGUCAUGGUUAAGUGGGAAACGAUGUGGGAAGGCCCAGACAGCCAGGAUGUUGGCUUAGAAGCAGCCAUCAUUUAAAGAAAGCGUAAUAGCUCACUGGUCGAGUCGGCCUGCGCGGAAGAUGUAACGGGGCUAAACCAU
This 685-nucleotide ribosomal RNA is filed under the name Salmonella enterica subsp. enterica. Its description in RNAcentral is "partial 23S ribosomal RNA". It matches the Rfam family "Bacterial large subunit ribosomal RNA", at positions 566 to 1190 of the family's 2925-position model. Lineage: Bacteria; Pseudomonadati; Pseudomonadota; Gammaproteobacteria; Enterobacterales; Enterobacteriaceae. The record is from RNAcentral.